Molecule: ribosomal RNA, 393 nt
Filed under: uncultured bacterium
Lineage: Bacteria
Description: partial 16S ribosomal RNA
Rfam family: Bacterial small subunit ribosomal RNA
Source: RNAcentral
AUACGGAGGAUCCGAGCGUUAUCCGGAUUUAUUGGGUUUAAAGGGAGCGUAGGUGGACAGUUAAGUCAGUUGUGAAAGUUUGCGGCUCAACCGUAAAAUUGCAGUUGAUACUGGCUGUCUUGAGUACAGUAGAGGUGGGCGGAAUUCGUGGUGUAGCGGUGAAAUGCUUAGAUAUCACGAAGAACUCCGAUUGCGAAGGCAGCUCACUGGACUGCAACUGACACUGAUGCUCGAAAGUGUGGGUAUCAAACAGGAUUAGAUACCCUGGUAGUCCACACAGUAAACGAUGAAUACUCGCUGUUUGCGAUAUACAGUAAGCGGCCAAGCGAAAGCAUUAAGUAUUCCACCUGGGGAGUACGCCGGCAACGGUGAAACUCAAAUGAAUUGACGGGG